Molecule: long non-coding RNA, 1453 nt
Organism: Bos indicus x Bos taurus (hybrid cattle)
Lineage: Eukaryota; Metazoa; Chordata; Mammalia; Artiodactyla; Bovidae
Source: Ensembl
CUCACACGAAGAUUGCUCACUACAGGGGUAGGGACUUGGGGGAGGAGGAUGUACCAGACUCGUUCCUCUUCACCCUGGGAAUGACCAGUAGAUGAACUGCCUGGAUUUUGACUGCAUUCAGAAAUUUCUGACCACAGGACUCAUGGACCACCUUUUGAAGUUCUGGGGAUAAUAAGAAACAUCUGAAUGGCUUAUUCUAGCCCUGUGAGCUGACCUCCGGAGCUAACUUGGUAGCCCCACCCUUCGGGUGGGGAAAAGCCCAAGAACUCUUAGGAGUGAAGCCUUUCCCGCUCUCUUGCUGCUCCUCCUAAAUGUUUCCUCUGCAGCUGCAUAGGCUGGCAGGCAGCCUGAGAUGGAGCCCUACUCAGAAGAUCCCCACCUCUGCUGGGUUGCCCGGCUCCUGGGACUCACCAGCCUCCUCCUCAGCAUCUGCAGCACAGUGGUCCAGAGUUCUGGAAAAUAUGGUUCUGAAGUUCAGAAUUCUAGAUUUGUUCCCAUGCAGGGGAUCCAAGGAGGUUCUGUGCUAUUUCAUAUAGUCAAGAAGCAAGAAGCUGACCCAGAGGAGGUCUCAUGGGGCUUUGGCCCUGAGUUAAACUACAGAGUCCUGCUGCGAGUCCACCGUGGGGCAGACACCCCAACCUGGGUCAGCCUCCAGGACAAGUACCAGCAGAGGGUCCAAGUGCCCAAUGUGACAUCCUUGAAGAUUGAGAACCUGACCCCAGAGGACAGUGGGCAGUACCGGGCUCGAGCCAGCUUCACUGGAGGAAUGGAAUUGAACCAGGUUUUCCUCCUCACUGUCUAUGAGCCUGUGAUCCUUCCUAAGAUCCUGGUCAAGUCAUCAUCAAUCACACCAGGCUUGUGCAAUGUCACCCUGGAGUGCAGGCACCCAGGGAAGAGAAAGGACCUGAAGGUGACCUGGGAGAGCGAGGGCCUUCCCAGGGAGCUGGAGUGGAGUGGGACACCAGGACCAGCCCCCAGCUCCUGGAGCCUGACUGUGAACCUGUCCCUGAGCCAGCCCAAUGCCAGCCUCACCUGUGUGGUCAGCAACCAUGCAGACAAGAAAACUGCCACUGUAGACUUUGCACAAGUCUGUUUCCCUGGUUCACAAGAGCAGACCAUUGCUGGUCUUCUUGAAGGCAUCCUAUGUGGCGUCGUGGCUGUGCUAUUCUUCCUGGGAGCUGGACUGUACUUUUGGAAGACAUAUAAGAAGGAAAGGAACACAGAGACUGGAAGAGGAGCAGCAUUGCAGGAGGACCACAGGAACCAAGAUGAUGGCGAUUGGGCAGAGCAGAGCCAGGAAGAGUAUCAACAAGGCAUGUACCAGAGUAUCAGUGCACAACAUAUGGAACAAGAGUUGCCUCUCAACACUGUCUACUUUGCACAACAUCUGGAACAAGAGUUGCCUCUCAACACUGUCUACUCUGCGAUCCAGAACAUACCUGUGAGGGUAUGA